AGCAGAGUGGCACCCAGUGGAAGCGUGCUGGGCCCAUAACUUGGGGUCCGUGGAUCGAAACCACGCUCUGCUA
Molecule: non-coding RNA, 73 nt
Organism: Trichonephila inaurata madagascariensis
Lineage: Eukaryota; Metazoa; Arthropoda; Arachnida; Araneae; Nephilidae
Source: the annotation of a GenBank genome assembly